UCCCGUUUAGCUCAGUUGGUAGAGCAUGGUGCUUGCAACGCCAGGGGUGUGGAUGCGGUUCCCGCAGGGGAC
This 72-nucleotide transfer RNA is filed under the name Salmo salar (Atlantic salmon). It matches the Rfam family "tRNA". Rfam says of the family: Transfer RNA (tRNA) molecules are approximately 80 nucleotides in length. The record is from Rfam by way of RNAcentral. Lineage: Eukaryota; Metazoa; Chordata; Actinopteri; Salmoniformes; Salmonidae.